This 1437-nucleotide ribosomal RNA is filed under the name uncultured organism. RNAcentral describes it as "16S ribosomal RNA". It matches the Rfam family "Bacterial small subunit ribosomal RNA". The record is from RNAcentral.
CGCUAGCUACAGGCUUAACACAUGCAAGUCGAGGGGCAGCAUUUCAGUUUGCUUGCAAACUGGAGAUGGCGACCGGCGCACGGGUGAGUAACACGUAUCCAACCUGCCGAUAACUCGGGGAUAGCCUUUCGAAAGAAAGAUUAAUACCCGAUGGCAUAAUUAGACCGCAUGGUCUUAUUAUUAAAGAAUUUCGGUUAUCGAUGGGGAUGCGUUCCAUUAGGCAGUUGGUGAGGUAACGGCUCACCAAACCUUCGAUGGAUAGGGGUUCUGAGAGGAAGGUCCCCCACAUUGGAACUGAGACACGGUCCAAACUCCUACGGGAGGCAGCAGUGAGGAAUAUUGGUCAAUGGGCGCAGGCCUGAACCAGCCAAGUAGCGUGAAGGAUGACUGCCCUAUGGGUUGUAAACUUCUUUUAUAUGGGAAUAAAGUUCUCCACGUGUGGAAUUUUGUAUGUACCAUAUGAAUAAGGAUCGGCUAACUCCGUGCCAGCAGCCGCGGUAAUACGGAGGAUCCGAGCGUUAUCCGGAUUUAUUGGGUUUAAAGGGAGCGUAGGUGGACAGUUAAGUCAGUUGUGAAAGUUUGCGGCUCAACCGUAAAAUUGCAGUUGAUACUGGCUGUCUUGAGUACAGUAGAGGUGGGCGGAAUUCGUGGUGUAGCGGUGAAAUGCUUAGAUAUCACGAAGAACUCCGAUUGCGAAGGCAGCUCACUGGACUGCAACUGACACUGAUGCUCGAAAGUGUGGGUAUCAAACAGGAUUAGAUACCCUGGUAGUCCACACAGUAAACGAUGAAUACUCGCUGUUUGCGAUAUACAGUAAGCGGCCAAGCGAAAGCAUUAAGUAUUCCACCUGGGGAGUACGCCGGCAACGGUGAAACUCAAAGGAAUUGACGGGGGCCCGCACAAGCGGAGGAACAUGUGGUUUAAUUCGAUGAUACGCGAGGAACCUUACCCGGGCUUAAAUUGCAUUUGAAUAAUCUGGAAACAGGUUAGCUGCAAGGCAAAUGUGAAGGUGCUGCAUGGUUGUCGUCAGCUCGUGCCGUGAGGUGUCGGCUUGAGUGCCAUAACGAGCGCAACCCUUAUCUUUAGUUACUAACAGGUCAUGCUGAGGACUCUAGAGAGACUGCCGUCGUAAGAUGUGAGGAAGGUGGGGAUGACGUCAAAUCAGCACGGCCCUUACGUCCGGGGCUACACACGUGUUACAAUGGGGGGUACAGAAGGCAGCUACCUGGUGACAGGAUGCUAAUCCCAAAAGCCUCUCUCAGUUCGGAUCGAAGUCUGCAACCCGACUUCGUGAAGCUGGAUUCGCUAGUAAUCGCGCAUCAGCCAUGGCGCGGUGAAUACGUUCCCGGGCCUUGUACACACCGCCCGUCAAGCCAUGAAAGCCGGGGGUACCUGAAGUACGUAACCGCAAGGAGCGUCCUAGGGUAAAACUGGUAA